AGCGAACGCUGGCGGCAGGCCUAACACAUGCAAGUCGAACGGAUCCUUCGGGAUUAGUGGCGGACGGGUGAGUAACCCGUGGGAACGUGCCCUUUGGUUCGGAACAACUCAGGGAAAGUUGUGCUAAUACCGGAUGUGCUCUUCGGGGGAAAGAUUUAUCGCCAUUGGAGCGGCCCGCGUCUGAUUAGCUAGUUGGUGAGGUAACGGCCCACCAAGGCGACGAUCAGUAGCUGGUCUGAGAGGAUGAUCAGCCACACUGGGACUGAGACACGGCCCAGACUCCUACGGGAGGCAGCAGUGGGGAAUCUUGCGCAAUGGGCGAAAGCCUGACGCAGCCAUGCCGCGUGAAUGAUGAAGGUCUUAGGAUUGUAAAAUUCUUUCAGCGGGGACGAUAAUGACGGUACCCGCAGAAGAAGCUCCGGCUAACUUCGUG
Molecule: ribosomal RNA, 433 nt
Filed under: uncultured bacterium
Lineage: Bacteria
Description: partial 16S ribosomal RNA
Rfam family: Bacterial small subunit ribosomal RNA
Source: RNAcentral